This 1493-nucleotide long non-coding RNA is filed under the name Cricetulus griseus (Chinese hamster). Its description in RNAcentral is "lncRNA (ENSCGRG00015042303.1)". Lineage: Eukaryota; Metazoa; Chordata; Mammalia; Rodentia; Cricetidae. The record is from RNAcentral.
CAAGGUUCAACACCCAGAACUGCCAAAAAUGUGUUUAAAUGUGUACAUGUGCUUUUAAGAUUUAUUGAGAAAUAAUCCACCUACUACUAUACAGCCCACUCAUAGUAUGUAAUUCAGUACAUACAUUAAAAGUACAUUUACACCUCAAUAAAAGUAGAGAAAAAUUUUAAGUGCAUAAUUCAAUGAUCUAAUACAUAAUUUUGUACAUCUACCACAAUCAAUUUUAGAAAGAUUUCAUUACUUUGAGCAGAAAACUUAUGGCUCUCAGGAAUUAUUGUCAUGACAGGGUCUCCUUACGCUCAGGUUAGCUUAGAAGUGGCUAGGCUUCCAGUGCAGUGACGCACAAUAUAGGGUGUGGUGGUGCUGGCCUAUAACCCCAGCAUUAGGGUUGGAGGGGUAGAAGGAUCCUUGUUAAAAAAGUUCUUGACUAUACAGAUAGGCUCAGUAUCAGCCUAAAAUACAUAAGAUACUGCAUUAAAUAAAAUCGAACCAAUUCCUGCUACUCACACUGCUGUCCAUUUCCCUGUAGUCUCAGGGGGAUAUCUACUCUAGCUCCUGCUUAUCGUCCAUACAGCAGUCAUGUUAUUUAAGACAACAGAUAUAUGCACAAAAUGGUUUUUAACCAUUUAAAAUGGUAUUGAGAAUAAACAUAACCUUAUCAUGAUAGUGUAUAUGACUUUACUAUCACAUCAGUUCCCAACCACCUUCAGCUUUUUUUUAUAGGGACUUGACUGUGCAGCCAUGGCUGGCCUCCUAGCACCACUGUGCCAUCCAAUGCCACAGAUUCUGACCUUAUACUGGGGCUACCCCUUCUAGUUACAAACUCCAGUUCUCUUUCAUGCUCCUUCAGAAACAAUGAAUGCAGUGCUGUUUACAAAGAGAAGGGUUUUCUUUUGGCAUAUGGUCUUUGGUAGAUAAUGAUAGGAGCAACUAAGUGCCAAGUGAAGAAAGGCAGCUGUUUGGCAACAAGUAUUGAUAAAGGAACAUGAUCUGGAAAUAUCCCUACCACAAGUCCUGAUCAUCACCUUGGCCCAAAAAGCUUAGACACUGUAUGGUCUGUGCUACAAUUUGAGGCAAGACAAUCAACCAGGUUAUUCUUACCACACGUUUGUGUUUGCGAAAACUUAAAACUCUGGUGUCCAGGUAAAAGUGUAAGCCUUGGGUGGAUGUAGCAAUUCCAGCUCUAGAGGUAGAGGCAGGAAUAUUAGAUGUUGCAAGAUCAUUAGCUACAGUGAGCUCAAGACCUUUUUGUUUUUUGGAGACAGGGUUUCUCUGUGGCUUUGGAGGCUGUCCUGGAACUAGCUCUUGUGGACCAAGAUGGCCUUUAACUCAGAGAUCCACCAGCGUCUGCCUCCCGAGUGCUGAGCUCAAUAUCAUCUUAUUUACGAUCCUGCAUAAACAAACAAACAAAAAAACCUAACUGUGUGGGUGGGGGUGCUCAUUAAGAGCUUGCAGAGGACCUGGGUUUGAUUCCAAAUCCAGUUCCAGGGGAC